GCCAACGUAGCUCAGCCGGUAGAGCAGCUGAUUCGUAAUCAGCAGGUCGUCGGUUCGAGUCCGACCGUUGGCU
This 73-nucleotide transfer RNA is filed under the name Thermoanaerobaculum aquaticum. It matches the Rfam family "tRNA". Rfam says of the family: Transfer RNA (tRNA) molecules are approximately 80 nucleotides in length. The record is from Rfam by way of RNAcentral. Lineage: Bacteria; Pseudomonadati; Acidobacteriota; Thermoanaerobaculia; Thermoanaerobaculales; Thermoanaerobaculaceae.